Molecule: ribosomal RNA, 438 nt
Filed under: uncultured bacterium
Lineage: Bacteria
Description: bacterial SSU rRNA
Rfam family: Bacterial small subunit ribosomal RNA
Source: RNAcentral
AACGCGAAGAACCUUACCCAGGUUUGACAUGUACUUGACAGUGGCAGAAAUGUCAUCUUCCGAAAGGACAAGUACACAGGUGCUGCAUGGCUGUCGUCAGCUCGUGCCGUGAGGUGUUGGGUUAAGUCCCGCAACGAGCGCAACCCUUAUCACUAGUUGCCAACACUUAGGGUGGGAACUCUAGUGAGACUGCCUGGGUUAACCAGGAGGAAGGUGAGGAUGACGUCAAGUCAGCAUGGCCCUUAUGUCUGGGGCGACACACGUGCUACAAUGGUCGGUACAGAAGGCAGCAAAACCGCAAGGUGGAGCAAAUCCCAAAAGCCGGCCCCAGUUCGGAUUGUAGUCUGCAACUCGGCUACAUGAAGUCGGAAUUGCUAGUAAUGGCGCGUCAGCCAUAGCGCCGUGAAUACGUUCCCGGGCCUUGUACACACCGCUGUA